This 2929-nucleotide ribosomal RNA is filed under the name Bacillus cereus. Its description in RNAcentral is "bacterial LSU rRNA". It matches the Rfam family "Bacterial large subunit ribosomal RNA". The record is from RNAcentral. Lineage: Bacteria; Bacillati; Bacillota; Bacilli; Caryophanales; Bacillaceae.
UUUGGUUAAGUUAGAAAGGGCGCACGGUGGAUGCCUUGACACUAGGAGUCGAUGAAGGACGGGACUAACGCCGAUAUGCUUCGGGGAGCUGUAAGUAAGCUUUGAUCCGAAGAUUUCCGAAUGGGGAAACCCACCAUACGUAAUGGUAUGGUAUCCUUAUCUGAAUACAUAGGGUAAGGAAGACAGACCCAGGGAACUGAAACAUCUAAGUACCUGGAGGAAGAGAAAGCAAAUGCGAUUUCCUGAGUAGCGGCGAGCGAAACGGAACAUAGCCCAAACCAAGAGGCUUGCCUCUUGGGGUUGUAGGACAUUCUAUACGGAGUUACAAAGGAACGAGGUAGACGAAGCGACCUGGAAAGGUCCGUCGUAGAGGGUAACAACCCCGUAGUCGAAACUUCGUUCUCUCUUGAAUGUAUCCUGAGUACGGCGGAACACGUGAAAUUCCGUCGGAAUCUGGGAGGACCAUCUCCCAAGGCUAAAUACUCCCUAGUGAUCGAUAGUGAACCAGUACCGUGAGGGAAAGGUGAAAAGCACCCCGGAAGGGGAGUGAAAGAGAUCCUGAAACCGUGUGCCUACAAAUAGUCAGAGCCCGUUAACGGGUGAUGGCGUGCCUUUUGUAGAAUGAACCGGCGAGUUACGAUCCCGUGCGAGGUUAAGCUGAAGAGGCGGAGCCGCAGCGAAAGCGAGUCUGAAUAGGGCGUUUAGUACGUGGUCGUAGACCCGAAACCAGGUGAUCUACCCAUGUCCAGGGUGAAGUUCAGGUAACACUGAAUGGAGGCCCGAACCCACGCACGUUGAAAAGUGCGGGGAUGAGGUGUGGGUAGCGGAGAAAUUCCAAUCGAACCUGGAGAUAGCUGGUUCUCCCCGAAAUAGCUUUAGGGCUAGCCUUAAGUGUAAGAGUCUUGGAGGUAGAGCACUGAUUGGACUAGGGGUCCUCAUCGGAUUACCGAAUUCAGUCAAACUCCGAAUGCCAAUGACUUAUCCUUAGGAGUCAGACUGCGAGUGAUAAGAUCCGUAGUCAAAAGGGAAACAGCCCAGACCGCCAGCUAAGGUCCCAAAGUGUGUAUUAAGUGGAAAAGGAUGUGGAGUUGCUUAGACAACUAGGAUGUUGGCUUAGAAGCAGCCACCAUUUAAAGAGUGCGUAAUAGCUCACUAGUCGAGUGACUCUGCGCCGAAAAUGUACCGGGGCUAAAUACACCACCGAAGCUGCGGAUUGAUACCAAUGGUAUCAGUGGUAGGGGAGCGUUCUAAGGACAGUGAAGUCAGACCGUAAGGACUGGUGGAGUGCUUAGAAGUGAGAAUGCCGGUAUGAGUAGCGAAAGACGGGUGAGAAUCCCGUCCACCGAAUGCCUAAGGUUUCCUGAGGAAGGCUCGUCCGCUCAGGGUUAGUCAGGACCUAAGCCGAGGCCGACAGGCGUAGGCGAUGGACAACAGGUUGAUAUUCCUGUACCACCUCUUUAUCGUUUGAGCAAUGGAGGGACGCAGAAGGAUAGAAGAAGCGUGCGAUUGGUUGUGCACGUCCAAGCAGUUAGGCUGAUAAGUAGGCAAAUCCGCUUAUCGUGAAGGCUGAGCUGUGAUGGGGAAGCUCCUUAUGGAGCGAAGUCUUUGAUUCCCCGCUGCCAAGAAAAGCUUCUAGCGAGAUAAAAGGUGCCUGUACCGCAAACCGACACAGGUAGGCGAGGAGAGAAUCCUAAGGUGUGCGAGAGAACUCUGGUUAAGGAACUCGGCAAAAUGACCCCGUAACUUCGGGAGAAGGGGUGCUUUCUUAACGGAAAGCCGCAGUGAAUAGGCCCAAGCGACUGUUUAGCAAAAACACAGCUCUCUGCGAAGCCGUAAGGCGAAGUAUAGGGGGUGACACCUGCCCGGUGCUGGAAGGUUAAGGAGAGGGGUUAGCGUAAGCGAAGCUCUGAACUGAAGCCCCAGUAAACGGCGGCCGUAACUAUAACGGUCCUAAGGUAGCGAAAUUCCUUGUCGGGUAAGUUCCGACCCGCACGAAAGGUGUAACGAUUUGGGCACUGUCUCAACCAGAGACUCGGUGAAAUUAUAGUACCUGUGAAGAUGCAGGUUACCCGCGACAGGACGGAAAGACCCCGUGGAGCUUUACUGUAGCCUGAUAUUGAAUUUUGGUACAGUUUGUACAGGAUAGGCGGGAGCCAUUGAAACCGGAGCGCUAGCUUCGGUGGAGGCGCUGGUGGGAUACCGCCCUGACUGUAUUGAAAUUCUAACCUACGGGUCUUAUCGACCCGGGAGACAGUGUCAGGUGGGCAGUUUGACUGGGGCGGUCGCCUCCUAAAGUGUAACGGAGGCGCCCAAAGGUUCCCUCAGAAUGGUUGGAAAUCAUUCGUAGAGUGCAAAGGCAUAAGGGAGCUUGACUGCGAGACCUACAAGUCGAGCAGGGACGAAAGUCGGGCUUAGUGAUCCGGUGGUUCCGCAUGGAAGGGCCAUCGCUCAACGGAUAAAAGCUACCCCGGGGAUAACAGGCUUAUCUCCCCCAAGAGUCCACAUCGACGGGGAGGUUUGGCACCUCGAUGUCGGCUCAUCGCAUCCUGGGGCUGUAGUCGGUCCCAAGGGUUGGGCUGUUCGCCCAUUAAAGCGGUACGCGAGCUGGGUUCAGAACGUCGUGAGACAGUUCGGUCCCUAUCCGUCGUGGGCGUAGGAAAUUUGAGAGGAGCUGUCCUUAGUACGAGAGGACCGGGAUGGACGCACCGCUGGUGUACCAGUUGUUCUGCCAAGGGCAUAGCUGGGUAGCUAUGUGCGGAAGGGAUAAGUGCUGAAAGCAUCUAAGCAUGAAGCCCCCCUCAAGAUGAGAUUUCCCAUAGCGUAAGCUAGUAAGAUCCCUGAAAGAUGAUCAGGUUGAUAGGUUCGAGGUGGAAGCAUGGUGACAUGUGGAGCUGACGAAUACUAAUAGAUCGAGGACUUAACCAUUUAA